This 559-nucleotide ribosomal RNA is filed under the name uncultured Glomus. RNAcentral describes it as "SSU rRNA". It matches the Rfam family "Eukaryotic small subunit ribosomal RNA", at positions 546 to 1106 of the family's 1831-position model. The record is from RNAcentral. Lineage: Eukaryota; Fungi; Glomeromycota; Glomeromycetes; Glomerales; Glomeraceae.
AAUUGGAGGGCAAGUCUGGUGCCAGCAGCCGCGGUAAUUCCAGCUCCAAUAGCGUAUAUUAAAGUUGUUGCAGUUAAAAAGCUCGUAGUUGAAUUUCGGGGUCAGUAGAUUGGUCGUGCCACUGGUAUGUACUGGUCUUACUGGCUCCUCCUUCCUGAUGAACCGUAAUGCCAUUAAUUUGGUGUUGCGGGGAGACUGGACUGUUACUUUGAAAAAAUUAGAGUGUUUAAAGCAGGCUAACGCUUGAAUACAUUAGCAUGGAAUAAUGAAAUAGGACGUUCGAUCUUAUUUUGUUGGUUUCUAAGAUUGACGUAAUGAUUAAUAGGGAUAGUUGGGGGCAUUAGUAUUCAAUUGUCAGAGGUGAAAUUCUUGGAUUUAUUGAAGACUAACUACUGCGAAAGCAUUUGCCAAGGAUGUUUUCAUUAAUCAAGAACGAAAGUUAGGGGAUCGAAGACGAUCAGAUACCGUCGUAGUCUUAACCAUAAACUAUGCCGACUAGGGAUCGGAUGAUGUUAAUUUUUUAAUGACUCAUUCGGCGCCUUACGGGAAACCAAAGUGU